GGGAAUGUAACUUAAUGGUACAGUGCUUGCCUAGUAUGCAUGAAGUCUGGGUUUGAUUCCUCAAUACCA
Molecule: transfer RNA, 69 nt
Filed under: Dipodomys ordii (Ord's kangaroo rat)
Lineage: Eukaryota; Metazoa; Chordata; Mammalia; Rodentia; Heteromyidae
Rfam family: tRNA
About the family: Transfer RNA (tRNA) molecules are approximately 80 nucleotides in length. Their secondary structure includes four short double-helical elements and three loops (D, anti-codon, and T loops). Further hydrogen bonds mediate the characteristic L-shaped molecular structure. tRNAs have two regions of fundamental functional importance: the anti-codon, which is responsible for specific mRNA codon recognition, and the 3' end, to which the tRNAs corresponding amino acid is attached (by aminoacyl-tRNA synthetases). tRNAs cope with the degeneracy of the genetic code in two manners: having more than one tRNA (with a specific anti-codon) for a particular amino acid; and 'wobble' base-pairing, i.e. permitting non-standard base-pairing at the 3rd anti-codon position.
Source: Rfam by way of RNAcentral